UCUGGAUGACUAUUUAAUUAAUAGUGCUUGACAGGCUGCAAAUAUCUUGCUUGCUGGUUAAGUCUAGUUUGUUGAAAUAUUAUGAUAUAAAUUCAAAGACAGGCAUGUGAUGCAUCACUAUAAGCAGUUUUGAUAAUAUUCUGUGGUUCUAUUGUGUCAUGUAACUAUUAUCACAUGUUAUUUGAGGGGUUGUGAAUAAAUAACACAAAAGACAGUGCAGCCUCUAUGGUUUAGUAGUACCGUCUUUUGAACUUAAUAAUCUGAAUCAUGGGUGGAAAGAACUUCUAUCCCUCACGAUGCUUUCAAUUUAUGAAACCAAAUUUUUACGUUUCAAGUAUCACAGGAGUUUGGUGAUGUCCUUUUCACAUUUUUUUGCAUGUGUUUUGCAAUUUGCUUGUGGGUUGUUAAAAGUAUUUGGUUGCUGAAUUAUGUUGUUCUCUCUUUAUAUUUAGCACUAUACUUUUGAAGGAUAUAUACACAAAAAUCUCAAGGAUUAUCUGAUAACCUAGACAGGAAUCGGAAUUCUAGUGUCCGAUGGGAAACUUUGUAUAUUUUGUGGGGUGGUUGGUGUCUAGUCAUAAUUAGUUUGAUGGUGCAGGAGUGACU
RNAcentral lists this long non-coding RNA (606 nucleotides) under Elaeis guineensis (African oil palm). RNAcentral's name for it is "long non-coding RNA (EGUI_LNC021677)". The record is from RNAcentral. Lineage: Eukaryota; Viridiplantae; Streptophyta; Magnoliopsida; Arecales; Arecaceae.